This 468-nucleotide ribosomal RNA is filed under the name uncultured bacterium. RNAcentral describes it as "partial 16S ribosomal RNA". It matches the Rfam family "Bacterial small subunit ribosomal RNA", at positions 28 to 507 of the family's 1533-position model. The record is from RNAcentral.
GACGAACGCUGGCGGCGUGCUUAACACAUGCAAGUCGAACGGUAAGGCCUUGGUGUUGGUGGGUGCGCGAGGGGCGAACUGGUGAGUAACACGUGGUUAACCUGCCCUGGACGUUGGGAUUACGUCAGGAAACUGGGGCGAAUACCUGAUAGGAGGGCCUGCGGCAUGGUGUGGGUGGUAAAUUUUAGACGGUUGGGGAUGGAGUCGGGGCUUAUCAGCUUGUUGGUGGGGUAGUGGCUUACCAAGGCUUUUGCGGGUAGCCGGGCUGAGAGGGUGACCGUCCACAUUGGGACUGAGAUCACGCCCCGAAUCCUAAGGGAGGGAGGAGUGGGGAAUAUUGCACCAUGGGCGGAAGGCUUAUGCAGCCAAGCCGCGUGCGGGAUGAAGGCGUUAGGGUUGUCAUACGCCUUCGUCUGUGACGAAGCGUGAGUGACGGUACUGGGUGAAGAAGCACCGGCUAACUACGUG